This 76-nucleotide transfer RNA is filed under the name Gammaproteobacteria bacterium. RNAcentral describes it as "tRNA-Thr". It matches the Rfam family "tRNA". From Rfam's summary of the family: Transfer RNA (tRNA) molecules are approximately 80 nucleotides in length. Their secondary structure includes four short double-helical elements and three loops (D, anti-codon, and T loops). Further hydrogen bonds mediate the characteristic L-shaped molecular structure. tRNAs have two regions of fundamental functional importance: the anti-codon, which is responsible for specific mRNA codon recognition, and the 3' end, to which the tRNAs corresponding amino acid is attached (by aminoacyl-tRNA synthetases). tRNAs cope with the degeneracy of the genetic code in two manners: having more than one tRNA (with a specific anti-codon) for a particular amino acid; and 'wobble' base-pairing, i.e. permitting non-standard base-pairing at the 3rd anti-codon position. RNAcentral also lists the same sequence under 3 other names. Lineage: Bacteria; Pseudomonadati; Pseudomonadota; Gammaproteobacteria. The record is from RNAcentral.
GCCGGCGUAGCUCAGUUGGUAGAGCAGUGGUUUUGUAAACCUCAGGUCGGGGGUUCGACUCCCUCCGCCGGCACCA